UACGGAGGGGGCUAGCGUUACACGGAAUUACUGGGCGUAAAGCGUGCGUAGGUGGUUCGUUAAGUCUGUCGUGAAAGCCCCGGGCUCAACCUGGGAAUGGCGAUGGAUACUGGCGAGCUAGAGUGCGGUAGAGGAGAGUGGAAUUCCCGGUGUAGCAGUGAAAUGCGUAGAGAUCGGGAGGAACAUCAGUUGCGAAGGCGGCUCUCUGGACCAGCACUGACACUGAGGCACGAAAGCGUGGGGAGCAAACAGG
RNAcentral lists this ribosomal RNA (253 nucleotides) under uncultured bacterium. Its description in RNAcentral is "partial 16S ribosomal RNA". It matches the Rfam family "Bacterial small subunit ribosomal RNA", at positions 524 to 776 of the family's 1533-position model. The record is from RNAcentral.